This 484-nucleotide ribosomal RNA is filed under the name uncultured bacterium. RNAcentral describes it as "bacterial SSU rRNA". It matches the Rfam family "Bacterial small subunit ribosomal RNA", at positions 28 to 526 of the family's 1533-position model. The record is from RNAcentral.
GACGAACGCUGGCGGCGUGCUUAACACAUGCAAGUCGAGCGAGGCUCCUCCUUCGGGAGGUGUCCUAGCGGCGAACGGGUGAGUAACACGUGGGCAACCUGCCCCUAGCACUGGGAUAACCCCGGGAAACCGGGGCUAAUACCGGAUACGACCUCUGAGGGCAUCCUCGGCGGUGGAAAGGGUUUCUGGCUAGGGAUGGGCCCGCGGCCUAUCAGCUUGUUGGUGGGGUGACGGCCUACCAAGGCGACGACGGGUAGCCGGCCUGAGAGGGCGACCGGCCACACUGGGACUGAGACACGGCCCAGACUCCUACGGGAGGCAGCAGUGGGGAAUAUUGCGCAAUGGGCGAAAGCCUGACGCAGCGACGCCGCGUGAGGGACGAAGGCCUUCGGGUUGUAAACCUCUUUCAGCUCCGACGAAGCGAAAGUGACGGUAGGAGCAGAAGAAGCACCGGCCAACUACGUGCCAGCAGCCGCCGUAAUAC